RNAcentral lists this ribosomal RNA (792 nucleotides) under fungal sp. RNAcentral's name for it is "SSU rRNA". It matches the Rfam family "Eukaryotic small subunit ribosomal RNA", at positions 170 to 971 of the family's 1831-position model. The record is from RNAcentral. Lineage: Eukaryota; Fungi.
CAUGCUAAAAACCUCGACUUCGGAAGGGGUGUAUUUAUUAGAUAAAAAACCAAUGCCCUUCGGGGCUCCUUGGUGAUUCAUAAUAACUUAACGAAUCGCAUGGCCUUGUGCCGGCGAUGGUUCAUUCAAAUUUCUGCCCUAUCAACUUUCGAUGGUAUGGUCUUGGCUUACCAUGGUUUCAACGGGUAACGGGGAAUUAGGGUUCUAUUCCGGAGAGGGAGCCUGAGAAACGGCUACCACAUCCAAGGAAGGCAGCAGGCGCGCAAAUUACCCAAUCCCGACACGGGGAGGUAGUGACAAUAAAUACUGAUACAGGGCUCUUUUGGGUCUUGUAAUUGGAAUGAGUACAAUUUAAAUCCCUUAACGAGGAACAAUUGGAGGGCAAGUCUGGUGCCAGCAGCCGCGGUAAUUCCAGCUCCAAUAGCGUAUAUUAAAGUUGUUGCAGUUAAAAAGCUCGUAGUUGAACCUUGGGCCUGGUUGGCCGGUCCGCCUCACCGCGUGCACUGGUCCGACCGGGUCUUUCCUUCUGAGGAGCCGUAUGCCCUUCACUGGGUGUAUCGGGGAAUCAGGACUUUUACUUUGAAAAAAUUAGAGUGUUCAAAGCAGGCCUAUGCUCGAAUACAUUAGCAUGGAAUAAUAGAAUAGGACGUGUGGUUCUAUUUUGUUGGUUUCUAGGACCGCCGUAAUGAUUAAUAGGGAUAGUCGGGGGCAUCAGUAUUCAAUUGUCAGAGGUGAAAUUCUUGGAUUUAUUGAAGACUAACUACUGCGAAAGCAUUUGCCAAGGAUGUUUUC